This 301-nucleotide ribosomal RNA is filed under the name uncultured bacterium. RNAcentral's name for it is "partial 16S ribosomal RNA". It matches the Rfam family "Bacterial small subunit ribosomal RNA", at positions 509 to 807 of the family's 1533-position model. The record is from RNAcentral.
CAGUAGCCACGGUAAUACGUAGGGUGCGAGCGUUAAUCGGAAUUACUGGGCGUAAAGCGUGCGCAGGCGGUUAUAUAAGACAGAUGUGAAAUCCCCAGGCUCAACCUGAGACCUGCAUUUGUGACUGUAUAGCUAGAGUACGGUAGAGGGGGAUGGAAUUCCGCGUGUAGCAGUGAAAUGCGUAGAUAUGCGGAGGAACACCGAUGGCGAAGGCAAUCCCCUGGACCUGUACUGACGCUCAUGCACGAAAGCGUGGGGAGCAAACAGGAUUAGAUACCCCAGUAGUCCCUGUCUCUUAUAC